Molecule: ribosomal RNA, 136 nt
Filed under: SAR324 cluster bacterium
Lineage: Bacteria; Deltaproteobacteria
Description: partial 16S ribosomal RNA
Rfam family: Bacterial small subunit ribosomal RNA
Source: RNAcentral
UAACUUGAGAGUUUGAUCCUGGCUCAGGACGAACGCUGGCGGCAUGCCUAACACAUGCAAGUCGAACGAGAAAGUUCCUUCGGGAGCAAUUAAAGUGGCGCACGGGUGAGUAACGCGUAGACAAUCUGCCCUUCAG